UUCACUAACUCCAACUCAGAGUGUUUCUGCCCAGGCGAGAAGUUAAAAGUUUUUAUUACCCCUUUUUUGUUCCCCCUUUUUGUCAAAAUGCAUAUUAGGAGGAAGGAAAAAUCAGUCAGAUGUGGCAGCGAUUGGGAGGAGACUGCUAGAGCAUAAACAGGCAACAGAGAUGUGCACAGAAUCAUCUGUCUCCUUCUUCACCCAGAAAUGGGCCUCACGUCCUUGUAGCAAUGACGCAGUGAACAUCCCAAGGAAUUCCAGGACUGGAAGCAGAAGAGCCAGCGAAUUGUCAGGGCGCAAAGGAGAUCAUCCCCUGCACCUCUGAUUUCUUCUAGGCUGGCAAAGAAGCAUCUAGCAGAUUAAGAAGAGAAAAAGUCAAAAAGAAGUUUAAAAACUUGUAUCCCUCCUGUAUAUAUGGGAGAGACCCAAGACGACUGAGUAACGCCCCCACCUGGCUUCAGACACCAUCUUAAAUAGCUCAGGGAUGAAUUCACAUUGAUCAACAUGAUCAGGCGCCCAGGGCCUGAGGAAACUGAAAGUCUGUUUAUCUUGAAGAAUACAGACACUUUACAACUGUCACCCUCAUCCCUCCCCUGGAGGUAGAAGCUACGGCCAUCAGACAGACCUGGAAUCAGACAGAGGAUGGCUUGUAUCAUUUGAACAGGAAUCAUUUCUUCCAGCCCAGGGUGGUCUCGGAAGAUGGUGCAUCCUCAUCCCUAACUCCCAUCACUGGGCCAAGACUCAGGAUUCCUCCUCCUCGGGCCUUAGCACAAAGGGGCCCUGGCAGGGGGGCUGUUCUCCAGGACUCAGGUUCACCAUCCUCAGCCACCAAGUCUUAGUGGGGGGAUUUCCAUGAAGGUGCAGGGGUUGGGGUGCCUGGAUCCCCAUGUUGAGUCUUCACCCCAAUGUCCCUGAUUGUGACCGUGUUUGGCAGCAGGGUUUUCACAGAGGUGACUAAGGUCCCGUGCACUCACUGGCUGGACUCUACUCCAUCUGACUGGUCUCCACCUAAGGGGAUGAGAUGAGGACCAAGCCACACAGGACCCAUGACGUGUGGACACGGGACGAAGGCGGCCCUCCUGAAGCCAAGGAGUGAGGCCUCAGAAGAAACCAUAGGUGCUGGCACCCUGAUGUGAGACUUGAAGCCUCCAGAACUGUGAUGAAGUGAACUCCUGUUGCUUCAGACUGUGGUUCUUGGUGGGGGCUGCACUCGCAGACAGACAAGCGCUUUCUGCUCUGGGGCUGCUUGUUUGGGAUGCCAGAUGCCAGUUUCAUGGCCGGGCAGCCCAGAAGAAGCUCAAAUUAGCAGGCUGUUCUUAGAACCAAGUUUCCUGGACAGGCUUCAAAAGAACAUUCUCCCUGGUGAUAUAGACAAUUGAGAGCCACAAAAAAAAAAAAAAAAAAAAAAAAACCCGCGGCCCAAAGUGGUUCUUCCCGGCCUAGCCUUUCUUGCUGUAGCCGCGGCCGGUGCCCAGGAAAGCCGGCCGAGGGGAAAACGGUGUCAUUUCUUAAUAAAUAAUUGAGAAUUUAGGGCCCAAGCCCAUGAGGAAUUUUAUCUUGUUCUCCCAGCAUCUGCCGGAGGAGGGGAAAAUGCUGAGGCUUUAUUCUAAUAUUGGAUUGGAAGGGGCAGGGCCCUGAGCACAGACGGCAAGAAGGGACCUUCCCCUCCCACACGCGCCUGCCUUGAACACUCUAAGCAAAGCACUGCAGUCCCCUUGCUGCAGGCAAGUAAUUGCAAAGGUCUCUUGGGGGAAAUAGUCCUGAUGUUACCUCAGGGAGGGUCACAGGGAAGUGCUUCCGGCUGAGGCAGUGGGAAAGGGUGGAGGCCAAAGGGCUGAAUAUUAAUGGCAGCUAUCAUCACCAGCUCUUAACAUAAUGGAAAAGCCCUUUGCCGGCAGUGCUGGGCGGGCCUCACACAGAAAUGCAAUCUCCUGGAACACAGAGUGGGCAGCGACAAGCAGUUUAUCUUCCAUUACUCCAAGGCCUUAAAUCAUUAUCAACGCAGAGCCAGCAAAGGGGCCAAAACUCUGCCUGGAAUUAGGAUAUUCUCUUCUUUUCUGAAUGAAUGCAAAUAGGAACGACAUGAAGGCUCAUUGUUUUGGGGUGGAUUAUGUCCCCCCCAAAGAAGACACAAUGCCGCCUUAACUCCCAAGAGCUCAGAAGUGGCCUUAUUUGGAAACAGGGUCUUUACAGCUGAGAUCAAAUUAAAAUGAGGUCUGUAGGGUGGACCCUAAUCUAUUCUGACUCGCGUCAGAUUAGACACAUAAAAAGGGAAAAUUUGGACACAGAGACACACACCAGGAGAGCAGCACGUGAAGAGGAAGGCAGAUGUGGGAGUGAGCUUUCCCCAGAGGUGGCCGGCAAAUGCUAGAAGCUGGGGAGAGGCUUGGAAGCAGUUUCUUCCUCACAGCCCUCAGAAACAUCAACUAGCCGACAUCUUGAUCUCAGCCUUCUAGCCGGCAGAAUGGCGAGACGAGUCAUUUCUAUCAUCUUACCACUUGGCACAUAUUAAGAAAGCCCUAGCAAACUAACACCCAGGAAAACCCCAGCCAGCUGAGGGAAGAAAAAGCAGUCCCCUGUCAUCCCAAAAUAGUCCACAGACAUGGCUGGGGAGGAGAGAAUCAGGUCACGCCUUCUCUGGGGGUUUUACCUGGAUAACAUUUGUAUAACCAUGUGGAGGUCCCAAUAUACAAGUCUUGCCUCAAAGGGGUAUUUCCUCUUCUGAAAAGCAUCUUCCUGGCCCCAGUUUCCAGCAGCGACCACACCAGCUGACCCGGGUAGGUGGUGAUGGCAGGAAGUGAGGCGUUGUCUCACUAAAGUGGAGUGGACUUCCCGGUAGUAGGGCAGGGUUUCCUGGGCCUGGACGGCUCAUCUGACUUGCCAAUUUUUUUUAAGAUUUAUUUAUUUAUGGAUACAAGAACUGGGGUGUAAGCCAGAGGUGAGUGGGUGAGAGGAUUCACCAGAGACAGAGUGGGGAACAGAACAGGUGGAUCAACUGAAAUACACUGCUGAGGGGAGCAGCGGGAGGCAGGAGAGGUCUGCUGCGCCAUGUGAGUAGCUCCCUGGCUGGCUGGGGAUUGAACUCAUACUGCAGUGGCUGGUGAUAGCUCGAUAGUGCUGUCCUUAACACCUGCACCACCAGGGAGGCCCCGACUUGCCAAUUAUUGAGCCCCUAGGUUGAGAAGCCCCACUAGCCAGUCACCAGGAGGAAACAGACCCGCUUCCCUGGGCAACUGCUCCAGAACCAGCUGGAGCUAAUGGCCACAUAGAGGGAGGUGGCGGAGGACCUGAACUAGGAGUCACCGAGGACUCAGCAGCGUGCUGAGUAGAAUCUUGAGUGUUUAUGAGACACACUGCUUAGAAGAAGCAUGCCGUCCCUCACGCACGCCCAUGCGGCCCUGCCCGAAACACGCGUGUUCCUCCCGCCACUACUACCACCCCGGUAACCAGUCCCACAGAACCAGGCCCCGCGCAGGUGGAGAGUGUGGUUCAGGGCAGUUGCUGCCUCUCUCCUGUGUUGUGAGCCACAGUAAGCGCUCCUCAACUGACCCCAGUUAUUGGCAUUUCAAAUCCAUGUGGGAUUCAUUGGUGAAAGUCAAAUACCCUCCUGGUUCUGAGCUGUCAAGGUUGCCAGCGCU
Long non-coding RNA from Talpa occidentalis (Iberian mole), 3638 nucleotides. RefSeq lists it as uncharacterized. NCBI's taxonomy places the organism in Eukaryota, Metazoa, Chordata, Mammalia, Eulipotyphla, Talpidae. The record is from RefSeq and is a predicted model, not a curated record. The transcript has 3 exons.